This is a long non-coding RNA of Bufo gargarizans (Asiatic toad), 1335 nucleotides long. RefSeq lists it as uncharacterized. Lineage: Eukaryota; Metazoa; Chordata; Amphibia; Anura; Bufonidae. The transcript is spliced from 3 exons. The record is from RefSeq and is a predicted model, not a curated record.
CCUCCUGCCGAGGGGACAGGAAGCCAAAUACAUGGUGUGUGCACUUCUUAACAUAAGCUGCUUCUAUCACAUGAGGAGACAUGAACUUCUGGCUUGUUCUUGCCUUUUCUACUUACAUUCCAGGUAUAAUUACAGAUGGAAAUAUUCCAGAUUUGUCCCGUGUCCACUUUGUAGAAGCAGGAAAGAACAUCAACAUUUCAUGUAAUAGUAGUAAAAGUUCCAGUGAUGUACAGUGGUACAAAGAGAGAGAAGACGGGGGAUUACAGGCCAUGCCACCAAGGGGAUGUUACCUACCAAAAGAAAACAGUAGAUAUUAUUUCCACUGUGAAAAAAGUAUAUACUCAGCAUGGAGAUUAGAAAUGUCCUUCCAUCUGACUCUGGGGUGUUUUACUGUUCUCUAUCAGGACUGGACCUAACCUUCCAUGUAGCCGGCACAUUAAUUGUUACAGGCACCAAAGCACCAACCACUGCUCAACUUUUUAUUGGAAGAGGCGGCCAAGCAUAUGCAGCCAAUCGGUACAUCUCCUUCCUCCGUGAAUGUCUAAUGGGUAGGGAAAUAAAAAUAAGUUACACCUCCACGGAUCCUCGCCUCAGGUCACCACUGAGGCUGGUGAUCAGCUGAGAGGGCAUUUCCUAUGUGUCGAGAGGCACCAGGAAGCAGAGAAAAAAGGAGACUCUGUGAGCAUUGGAACUGGAGCAUCGGGGGAUAUGGAGAGGAGAGUAUGGCCUAUGUUUUUUUUUUUAUGGUACUCUAAGCAUUUAAACAAAUGACCAGAUUACCCCUUUUUCCUUGUUGCAGUGGGGCAAUGAGCUGAUUUUGCCAGGCUUAAGGAUUUGAAGAUCUGUAUCAGUUUCAAUCAUUAAUCGAUAAAUUAAAAACAAAAAUAUACCAGCAUAGUAUUUAGGGGCGGGUUUUAACUUUAUGGAUUUCCCCAUUGGCGAUUUUGAAGUGGGGAGGGGAACAAUAGGAUUACUAAUGGAUAUAAUUAUAUUUAUGUGGUCUACUGUUUUCUUUGUAUUUUAAUAGGGCGGAGGCAUUGUUUAGGUUCUUAAAGGGGCUGUCUGGCCAAUAGUUUUUUUUCUUAAGACUCAAAAUUGUAUAAAAUAAAAUGUCAUGUUUCCCUCACAAAACUGCACUGAUCUUGUUCCAAUGCUUAAUGGUACCCCUUAACCUCUACAAGAGAUCAGCAAAUUUAAAAAAAUUGAUUUUGGGACAGCCAUUUCGGUCCAAGUCUGAAUGAAUUUGAUCAGAAUCAAGAGAGUCCUAAUUGCCUGGAAAAGUCUGUCUCUCCAUAAUUCUUCCAUGUUGAAUUGCUAAAAUUUUAGUUAUUUGCU